UGCCCAAGGAUGGGUCUGCGGCCUAUCAGGUAGUAGUGGGUGUAACGUACCUACUAGCCUACGACGGGUACGGGUUGUGAGAGCAAGAGCCCGGAGAUGGAUUCUGAGACAUGAAUCCAGGCCCUACGGGGUGCAGCAGGCGCGAAAACUUUACAAUGCGGGCAACCGCGAUAAGGGGACCUCGAGUGCUGGGUUACAAACCUGGCUGUUGGGCUGCCUAAAAAGCAGUCUAUAGCAAGGGCCGGGCAAGACCGGUGCCAGCCGCCGCGGUAACACCGGCGGCUCGAGUGGUAACCGCUAUUAUUGGGUCUAAAGGGUCUGUAGCCGGCCGACUAAGUCUCUUGGGAAAUCUGGCAUCUCAAGUGUCAGGCUGCCAGGGGAUACUGGUCGGCUUGGGACCGGGAGAGGUGAGAGGUACCUCGGGGGUAGGGGUGAAAUCUUGUAAUCCUCGAGGGACCACCAGUGGCGAAGGCGUCUCACCAGAGCGGAUCCGACGGCAAGGGACGAAAGCUAGGGGCACGAACCGGAUUAGAUACCCGGGUAGUCCUAGCCGUAAACGAUACUCGCUAGGUGUCGGCCACGGUGCGACCGUUGUCGGUGCCGUAGGGAAGCCGUGAAGCGAGCCACCUGGGAAGUACGGCCGCAAGGCUGAAACUUAA
This 659-nucleotide ribosomal RNA is filed under the name Methanosaeta sp. enrichment culture clone AD_Archaea_30. RNAcentral describes it as "bacterial SSU rRNA". It matches the Rfam family "Archaeal small subunit ribosomal RNA", at positions 200 to 859 of the family's 1478-position model. Lineage: Archaea; Methanobacteriati; Methanobacteriota; Methanomicrobia; Methanotrichales; Methanotrichaceae. The record is from RNAcentral.